This is an RNA transcript of Heterocephalus glaber (naked mole-rat), 5079 nucleotides long. It is a transcript of the gene named zinc finger protein 124-like, with no coding region annotated. The record is from RefSeq and is a predicted model, not a curated record. Lineage: Eukaryota; Metazoa; Chordata; Mammalia; Rodentia; Bathyergidae.
GAAUGUGGCUGCUGUAGGAAGAAACUGGAAUGACGAGCAAAUUGAAGAUGAGUACAAAAAUUACAGAAAAAAUCUAAGGUUGGAAAUUCAAAGAGCAUGGCAAAAAUAUAGUGAGGUCCUCUGUUCUGCACAAUGCAUUGUUGAAGGGCAGAUUUCUCAGGAUGACUACACAGAGCCCACUGACUCUGUAUGAGCUGACCAAGCAGAACCUGCUGAACUGUGAGACCACAACCAGCAGUGCUCUGCAUGACUUGCCCACCCUUAUCUUCCAUGAAAUAUUCAUAGAGGCCUUCAUGGGGGAACACAAUGAGGUCCUGAAGGUGAUGGUGCAGGCCUGGCCUUUCCCCUGCCUCCCUUUGAGGAGCCUGAUGGAUUUGAGGGAACCAAAAACCCCACACCCUCAGCUGGGAGAAAUUACACUGAAACAGAGAAACCUAUGGACCUUGGAAGCCCUACUGGAUGGACUUGACAUGCAGCUGUCCCAGAAGGUUCAUCACAGGAGGUGGAGUCUGCAGGUGCUGGAUUGGAGGGAUGUACACCAGGACUUCUGGACUGUAGGACCCAGAGCCGUGAGUGCUGCCCGCUCAGAAGAUGGCCAGCAGUAAGGAAGCAGGCAAGCCUGGGUUGAGGAAGAAGAAGCCGACCUUGACAAUCCUCGCAUACCUUUGCUUUGAAGCCUGGAUUAGGCCUUGUGCCACCUGUGAUGAAUUACAACUCUGUCUCUUGAAGUGGGCCAGGAAGAGAAAAGCUUAGUACUCCUGUGCUGUGAGAAGGUGAUGAUCAAUUCCAAUGGUGUCUUUACAUUCCUGAAGCUUCUUCGCGCUAUGCAACUGGACUCUAUCCAGGAGCUGGACGUGUUCAGUGACUGGGGUCGGGAAAGCAUGAAGCAUUUGUUCCUCAGCUCAAGAAGAUGAUGAACCUUCACACAUUUCACUUCAGUAGCCUGAGCCCAGAAGUGUAUACUUCAGCCUGGAAAAACAAAUGGGAUUUCCCCAUCUAUGCUUUUCACUUAGGACAGAUGCAAAAUCUCCUGGAGCUUUGUAUAGAUGUUGUCUUCUUCCUGGAAGGAACUCUGCAUAAAAUCUUAAGGAGCCAGACCCCCUUAGAGGCCCUCUCCUUGAGUUCAAGUCCACUGAAAGAAUCUGUCCUAAAGCAUCUGUCCUGGUGUUGAAGCACAAGCCAGCUGAAGUCCCUGAGUCUGAGGAAGUUCUCAGUGAAGUCAUUCAACCCACAGACUCUCCACUUUCUGCUAGACAAACUGGCCAGCACCCUGUAGUCCCUGGUCCUAGAGAACUGUGACAUCACAGACUCCCAUAUCCUUGCCAUCUUGCCUGCCCUGAGGCACUGCUCCCAACUCAAGACCUUAAGUUGCUAUAGGAACCACAUUUCCCUGGGCAUUCUUAAGGUCCUGCUGCACGUGUGUGUGGGGCUGAGCCAGUUAACCCACGGUCUGUAUCCUGUCCCCCUGGAGAGCUAUGAGUCCAAGAUUCCAGCAAAGUUUGUGCACCCUGAACAAUUUCCCCGAGUCUGUGCUGAAUUUGCACAGAUACUGAAGGACAUGUGGCCAUCUCUUAGGGUCCAGAUCUGUAUCUUCUCCUGUGAUUGGUGCAUGAUUUGCCAGCUGUAUAGACUGGACCCAGUGGAAACUGGAAAGUCACAGAGGAGUAUACCUAUCAAAGUACAGUGAGAUGCAAUAGUUCAUACAUCCACAACCCAGAGUCUAUAUUUUUUAAAUCUAGGUGUCCCCCCAAAGCCCCACAGGUAGGAUUUGUGGGAGGUGAUUGGAUCGUGGUAACAUGACACUCACCAGUGGAUUAGCCCACUGAGUCCAUAGCUAUCUGUGAUGCUGGGAGGUGAAGCCUGGUCAGAGGAGGUGGGUCAUUGGGGGCAUGACCUAGAAGGCUCUACCUACCUCUUCUGUUAAUCUCUCUCUGCUUCCCACAGCCAGGCCAUGAGCUGUUUCUCCUCUGUUGUGUACCUCUACCAUGCCAGCCUAUGACCUGAACUGUAAGACAAAAUAAGCUUUUCUCUUUGAUUUUGUGAGUGUUGGCUAUUGUGUACCAGUGACAAGGGAAGUAAUGAAGACAUGUGCAUGUCUGAAGUUAGUUCUGCAUAGGUGACUGUCAAGAAAUGGUCAUAAAGGGACCUUUGCCAGUUAUGGUAAAAUAGGCUCAGCACAUUGGAAGCUGAGGCAGGAGGAUCUCUUCGAGUUAGAACCAGCCUGGGCUACAUAGUGUGAGACCUUAUUUAAAAGAUAAAUAAAUAGAUAAACAAAGAAAGGGAACUUCAAUGUAAACUCUUUUGUGGUGACCCAGUGACUUGAUUUUCCAGUAUAUUUAUGCAUUUAUUACUUUUUUGUUUCUUUUAGUAUGUUUGCCUUGCAUACUAAUGAUAGUUAUCUUGGGUAGGGAAGCUUUCUUUUCUUCCUCUGUUUUUGUUUUUGUUUUUGUUUUUGUUUGGUAGUCUGGGGGACUGAACUCAAGAUUUUCACACUGAGCUAUCACUCCAGCCCUUUUAAUUUUUUGCAUUUUUCUGUGUAAAUGUUUGCAGUACUAAAUGAACACUUUCAUCAUGGGGCAUUGGUACAAGUACAUAAAACAUCCUGUUUUUAUGUCCCCUUCCCACCCCUUCCAUCUCUUUGUCGUCUUCUAUUUGCAAGUUCAUUUUUGGAGACUGAGUCUCACCAAGUAGUUAAGUUCUUCAGGCUAGGCUUGAACCUGCAAUCCUGUGUCAAACUCCAAGACAGCUGGGAUUACUGGCAUGCAUCACCACACCCAGCUUGGUUUUUCAAUUUGACCUCAGCAAAGUCCAACAGUUGGAGGAAAAAAACCCAUUGGAUUGUCUUGUGUCCAUGAGGAUAGGCUGUAGGAUCUUGAGGCAUCAAAAUAACAUGUUGCCAUUUAGACCCUUCCUUUCCUUUUUUCAAGUGUUGAGGUGAACCUGGGGCCUCACUCAUGCUAGGCCAGUGAUCGACCAUUGAGCUACACUCCCAGCCCCCUUCCCUUUUGUUUCCUUCUCUGGGGACAUCUGUUGCCUCCCUGCUUAUUAUUGUGGCUGUUUGCAGAAUGUGUGAAAGAAAGCCCCAGGUUGGUUUUGUUCACUUGGGGUUGCACCUGUGAUGCCCACAUGCUUUCACUGCUUGAUGAUAUUCUAUUGUCAGGAUAGAGCAGAGUUUAGUUAUCAUUCAUCCACUGAAGGAUAAGUGGUCAAUUCCAAACACUGGCAGUGAUGAUGAGAGCAGCUGAGAACAUCUGAGUGGAGAUCUGCUUACUUGGAUAAACACCUAAGAGUCCCAUUGCUGGGUGAUGUACUAGGGAUAUAUGUUGUCAUUUUUCCAAUGACAAAUUUUCCUGUUACAAUUGACUCAUAAAUGGCAGUAACACUCUACAACCCUGUGCUUCACAGCUGAGCAUGGAGCCCGGCAAGUGGCAGUAUCUGCUGACUGACUAUAGGUGGCUUGAACAUUUCCAGUGUCAAGUUCUAGUCAGGAAGAGGGAAGUCUGGGUAAUAUCUGACUAUUUCAUGCUGGCCUUGAACUAACUAGCCCAGUUUGGGCUCAAACUCAGCAAUGCUCCUGUCUCAGCUUCACAAGCACUGGAAUCAGAGAUAUGUGCUAGCAUGCCCCCAAGCUCCACUUUGCUUCAGGUGCUCAUCUGUAAUCCUAGCAAUCAGGAGGCUGAUGCCAGAGGCUGGAGAGUUCAAAACCUUGUGUGGACUACAGAGGAAGAUCCUGUCUCAAGGACAAGACAAGACUUCUGGGAAGAUGGGGGAGUGGUGAGCAACAAAGAAAGAACCUCUCCAAGAUUUGAUGUCCUGACAGUGGAAUAUAGUGGUGCAUGGAGGAGAAGAAGGAGGGAAGUGGGUCCCCAGGACCCACAAAAGAGCUCAAGUAAGAAUGAAAGAACACGGGGACCAAGAGAAAGACUUCAGUGAAGAGGAGGGAGAUAACAAGCAGCGUUCUCUUCCAGAGCCUGGACUUGAAGUGUGGGAAUGGUGGGUGGGACCUGCAGAAGCAUAGUGACUACUGCUGAUCCAAGAGGCCUCCACAGAGAAAUGCAACAGUGGAACAGAGGAGUGGAUGCAGCACACUGCAGUGGCUGAUGAGUUACCCGGGUUCAGACAUCACCUGGGAGAGGAAGAUUGGCUGAGAGCCAUCCUGGAGAGGGGCCAACUGAUCUCAGAACUCAGAACAGCUGUGGGCAGACUCCAUCUAGUGGCUCUCGGUGUCUCGAUGUGGGUGCCAAGUGCAAGUCAGCAGGAGGCCAGGGGAGUGGAGUUCAAGCUGGCAAAGGCACAGGGACAGUUGUAGACUCAAGGAAUCCUGUUCCAGCCUCAUAGCCAGAAAACGGUGUGAACUUCAGUGGAACUAAAGGGGCAGGCUGCCUGGAAUUAUCCACUACCCCUUGUGAAGCUGUGGCUGUCUUGCUGGGUUUAAUCAAUUCAACUCUGAACUCUUAUCUGCCUGCAUUCAAUACCAGUGAGAGCAGAGACACACCUUGAAUUGGACUUUUUCUUUUAUUUGUUUCUUUUUUCUUUUUUUCCCCUCCUUUCUGUUUCUUGUUUUGUCUUUACUUGAUAGAAUACAGUUUUUAGUUUUUUGUUGUUUUGUUUUAUUCUUGUUUUUAUUUCUUCCUUUUAUCUUCCCUCUAUCUUCUUCACUAGUCUCCUAAAGUUUUUUCUCCAGCCUUGCUUCUGAUCUCUUCCUCUUCUUCUAUUUCUCUGCUUUUUCCUCUCUAACCCCUUUUAAAUCUUCUCCCCUAAUGGUAAAAUCACCAUAAUAAGAGCUUAUGUACUGCAACAGUUUUGGGGUUUGUUCUAGGUUUUGUUAUAUAACCACAAAUCUAGUUCAUAUGGUUAAAGGUAGCAAAUUAAGAGUUACCACAGUUUGUCAUUUUCUGGGCUGGAUUUCAUGCUAUUGUUGUUGUUGAUUUUAUUUCUUUAGCCAAGGUGGCAUAAUUGUGCUAAUCAGUUGUUCCUCUGGGUAUACCAAGACUGAGAUUGCCUAAGGAUCUUAAAACAGACAAACUAUUGGCCAGUGCCAAAGAACUGGUUGGUAGGCCAAGUAGGUAGUAACUUCUC